AGCAGCCGCGGUAAUUCCAGCUCCAAUAGCGUAUAUUAAAGUUGUUGCAGUUAAAAAGCUCGUAGUUGAAUUUCGGGAUUAAUUUACUGGUCGUGCUAUUGUACGUACUGGUUUUAUUGGUUCCUCCCUUCUGACGAACUAUGAUGUCAUUAAUUUGGUGUCAUAGGAAAUCAGGACUGUUACUUUGAAAAAAUUAGAGUGUUUAAAGCAGGCUCACGCUUGAAUACAUUAGCAUGGAAUAACGGAAUAGGACGUUUGAUUCUAUUUUGUUGGUUUCUAGGAUCGACGUAAUGAUUAAUAGGGAUAGUUGGGGGCAUUAGUAUUCAAUUGUCAGAGGUGAAAUUCUUGGAUUUAUUGAAGACUAACUACUGCGAAAGCAUUUGCCAAGGAUGUUUUCAUUAAUCAAGAACGAAAGUUAGGGGAUCGAAGACGAUCAGAUACCGUCGUAGUCUUAACCAUAAACUAUACCGACUAGGGAUCGGAUGAUGUUAAUUUUUAAUGACUCAUUCGGCGCCUUACG
Molecule: small RNA, 520 nt
Filed under: uncultured Glomus
Lineage: Eukaryota; Fungi; Glomeromycota; Glomeromycetes; Glomerales; Glomeraceae
Description: SSU rRNA
Rfam family: Eukaryotic small subunit ribosomal RNA
Source: RNAcentral